AUCUGGCUAUGACAUUUGUCACCUAAGUGAUCUCCAGUGUUAAUUCAUCUGAUCUGGCUGGCCAGGCAGGUGUCCCCUU
This is an unclassified non-coding RNA of Cricetulus griseus (Chinese hamster), 79 nucleotides long. Its record names the gene 7SK. It matches the Rfam family "7SK RNA". From Rfam's summary of the family: 7SK was discovered as an abundant small nuclear RNA in the mid-70s but a possible function has only recently been suggested. NCBI's taxonomy places the organism in Eukaryota, Metazoa, Chordata, Mammalia, Rodentia, Cricetidae. The record is from Ensembl.